GAUGAAGAACGCAGCGAAAUGCGAUAAGUAGUGUGAAUUGCAGAAUUCAGUGAAUCAUCGAAUCUUUGAACGCACAUUGCGCCAUUUGGUAUUCCAAAGGGCAUGCCUGUUCGAGCGUCAUUUGUACCCUCAAGCUUUGCUUGGUGUUGGGCGUCUUGUCUCUAGCUUUGCUGGAGACUCGCCUUAAAGUAAUUGGCAGCCGGCCUACUGGUUUCGGAGCGCAGCACAAGUCGCACUCUCUAUCAGCAAAGGUCUAGCAUCCAUUAAGCCUUUUUUUUCAACUUUUGACCUCGGAUCAGGUAGGGAUACCCGCUGAACUUAAGCAUAUCAAUAAGCGGAGGA
RNAcentral lists this unclassified non-coding RNA (342 nucleotides) under soil metagenome. RNAcentral describes it as "partial contains 5.8S ribosomal RNA, internal transcribed spacer 2, and large subunit ribosomal RNA". The stretch from base 1 to 120 matches the Rfam family "5.8S ribosomal RNA", at positions 35 to 154 of the family's 154-position model. The record is from RNAcentral.